CCUACGGGAGGCAGCAGUAGGGAAUCUUCGGCAAUGGGGGGAACCCUGACCGAGCAACGCCGCGUGAGUGAAGAAGGUUUUCGGAUCGUAAAGCUUUGCUGUAAGAGAAGAACGGGUGUGAGAGUGGAAAGUUCACACUGUGACGGUAUCUUACCAGAAAGGGACGGCUAACUACGUGCCAGCAGCCGCGGUAAUACGUAGGUCCCGAGCGUUAUCCGGAUUUAUUGGGCGUAAAGCGAGGGCAGGCGGUUUGGUAAUGCUGAAAUUAAAGGCUGGGGGUUAACAAUAAUAGGCUUUGGAGACUGUUUAACUUGAGUGCAGAAGGGGAGAGUGGAAUUCCAUGUGUAGCGGUGAAAUGCGUAGAUAUAUGGAGGAACACCGGUGGCGAAAGCGGCUCUCUGGUCUGUAACUGACGCUGAGGCUCGAAAGCGUGGGGAGCAAACAGGAUUAGAUACCCGUGUAGUC
This 465-nucleotide ribosomal RNA is filed under the name uncultured Streptococcus sp. RNAcentral describes it as "bacterial SSU rRNA". It matches the Rfam family "Bacterial small subunit ribosomal RNA", at positions 338 to 795 of the family's 1533-position model. Lineage: Bacteria; Bacillati; Bacillota; Bacilli; Lactobacillales; Streptococcaceae. The record is from RNAcentral.